This 553-nucleotide ribosomal RNA is filed under the name Escherichia coli. RNAcentral's name for it is "partial 23S ribosomal RNA". It matches the Rfam family "Bacterial large subunit ribosomal RNA", at positions 1027 to 1582 of the family's 2925-position model. Lineage: Bacteria; Pseudomonadati; Pseudomonadota; Gammaproteobacteria; Enterobacterales; Enterobacteriaceae. The record is from RNAcentral.
CCAGACCGCCAGCUAAGGUCCCAAAGUCAUGGUUAAGUGGGAAACGAUGUGGGAAGGCCCAGACAGCCAGGAUGUUGGCUUAGAAGCAGCCAUCAUUUAAAGAAAGCGUAAUAGCUCACUGGUCGAGUCGGCCUGCGCGGAAGAUGUAACGGGGCUAAACCAUGCACCGAAGCUGCGGCAGCGACGCUUAUGCGUUGUUGGGUAGGGGAGCGUUCUGUAAGCCUGUGAAGGUGUGCUGUGAGGCAUGCUGGAGGUAUCAGAAGUGCGAAUGCUGACAUAAGUAACGAUAAAGCGGGUGAAAAGCCCGCUCGCCGGAAGACCAAGGGUUCCUGUCCAACGUUAAUCGGGGCAGGGUGAGUCGACCCCUAAGGCGAGGCCGAAAGGCGUAGUCGAUGGGAAACAGGUUAAUAUUCCUGUACUUGGUGUUACUGCGAAGGGGGGACGGAGAAGGCUAUGUUGGCCGGGCGACGGUUGUCCCGGUUUAAGCGUGUAGGCUGGUUUUCCAGGCAAAUCCGGAAAAUCAAGGCUGAGGCGUGAUGACGAGGCACUACGG